UGGGAGAGGACGCGGCUUACGCUGGUGGUACUAUGUUGACUGUGAAGCCAUGGCUCGUCUGGACGCAGUAGUUCAGCCAUACCAGUUCGACACAGAGUCUGACCCAGAAGGAGAGGCUCCUGAUGAAGUCCUGACUCUGCGGCUGCAGCAGGAUGUUUCGGAAUGGUGCUCCUGUGGAAACUGUGGCCCACAGAAGCUGAAAACAUCUGUUGCUUCGAGAUACCACAGAUUACCAGACGCCUACAGGAGGUUGAUGAAGAACUCACCUGUAUGGUUGACCAUCCUAGGUUGGAGCCAGUGUGCCUAAAUAUUUACUCUCUGCAAAACGCCUGCCAAAUAUACAGGGCUCACUAUGGCCCUUUACAGCUGAGAGGAAUACACCAUCGUUACAGGUAUCUGGCCUAUCGGAGUUUUGUGAGCUGGUGCUGGGGGUUCUUGGGACGCAGAAUCCGUGUUGUGAUUCCCCCUUGUGUGGUUCUUCGUAUCUGCACACAGUUUCCUGAUGUGCAAGAACACUAUCUGGGAU
Acanthochromis polyacanthus (spiny chromis) is the source of this 526-nucleotide long non-coding RNA. RefSeq lists it as uncharacterized. The record is from RefSeq and is a predicted model, not a curated record. Lineage: Eukaryota; Metazoa; Chordata; Actinopteri; Pomacentridae. The transcript has 4 exons.